Podarcis lilfordi (Lilford's wall lizard) is the source of this 94-nucleotide non-coding RNA. NCBI's taxonomy places the organism in Eukaryota, Metazoa, Chordata, Lepidosauria, Squamata, Lacertidae. The record is from the annotation of a GenBank genome assembly.
AGUGUGUGUGCGGCUCUUGGGGGCUUUUCCCUGAGGAGGGAGAAGGGCAGCCCUUCCUCCUCAGGGAAAAGCCCCCAAGAGCUGCACACAUGCU